Molecule: ribosomal RNA, 497 nt
Filed under: uncultured bacterium
Lineage: Bacteria
Description: partial 16S ribosomal RNA
Rfam family: Bacterial small subunit ribosomal RNA
Source: RNAcentral
GAUGAACGCUGGCGGCGUGCCUAAUACAUGCAAGUCGAGCGAACGGACGAGAAGCUUGCUUCUCUGAUGUUAGCGGCGGACGGGUGAGUAACACGUGGAUAACCUACCUAUAAGACUGGGAUAACUUCGGGAAACCGGAGCUAAUACCGGAUAAUAUUUUGAACCGCAUGGUUAAAAAGUGAAAGACGGUCUUGCUGUCACUUAUAGAUGGAUCCGCGCUGCAUUAGCUAGUUGGUAAGGUAACGGCUUACAAAGGCAACGAGGCAUAGCAGACCUGAGAGGGUGAUCGGCCACACUGGAACUGGGGCACGGUCCAGACUCCUACGGGAGGCAGCAGUAGGGAAUCUUCCGCAAUGGGAGAAAGCCUGACGGAGCAACGCCGCGUGAGUGAUGAAGGUAUUCGGAUCGUAAAACUCUGUUAUUAGGGAAGAACAUAUGUGUAAGUAACUGUGCACAUCUUGACGGUACCUAAUCAGAAAGCCACGGCUAACUACGUG